GACGAACGCUGGCGGCGUGCCUAAUACAUGCAAGUAGAACGCUGAAGAGAGGAGCUUGCUCUUCUUGGACGAGUUGCGAACGGGUGAGUAACGCGUAGGUAACCUGCCUUGUAGCGGGGGAUAACUAUUGGAAACGAUAGCUAAUACCGCAUAACAAUAGGUGACACAUGUCAUUUAUUUGAAAGGGGCAAUUGCUCCACUACAAGAUGGACCUGCGUUGUAUUAGCUAGUAGGUGAGGUAACGGCUCACCUAGGCGACGAUACAUAGCCGACCUGAGAGGGUGAUCGGCCACACUGGGACUGAGACACGGCCCAGACUCCUACGGGAGGCAGCAGUAGGGAAUCUUCGGCAAUGGGGGCAACCCUGACCGAGCAACGCCGCGUGAGUGAAGAAGGUUUUCGGAUCGUAAAGCUCUGUUGUAAGUCAAGAACGAGUGUGAGAGUGGAAAGUUCACACUGUGACGGUAGCUUACCAGAAAGGGACGGCUAACUACGUGCCAGCAGCCGCGGUAAUACGUAGGUCCCGAGCGUUGUCCGGAUUUAUUGGGCGUAAAGCGAGCGCAGGCGGUUUGAUAAGUCUGAAGUUAAAGGCUGUGGCUCAACCAUAGUCCGCUUUGGAAACUGUCAAACUUGAGUGCAGAAGGGGAGAGUGGAAUUCCAUGUGUAGCGGUGAAAUGCGUAGAUAUAUGGAGGAACACCGGUGGCGAAAGCGGCUCUCUGGUCUGUAACUGACGCUGAGGCUCGAAAGCGUGGGGAGCGAACAGG
Molecule: ribosomal RNA, 765 nt
Filed under: uncultured Streptococcus sp.
Lineage: Bacteria; Bacillati; Bacillota; Bacilli; Lactobacillales; Streptococcaceae
Description: bacterial SSU rRNA
Rfam family: Bacterial small subunit ribosomal RNA
Source: RNAcentral